UACGUAGGGUGCGAGCGUUAAUCGGAAUUACUGGGCGUAAAGCGUGCGCAGGCGGCGCGUUAAGACAGGUGUGAAAGCCCCGAGCUUAACUUGGGAAUUGCGCUUGUGACUGGCGUGCUGGAGUGUGGCAGAGGGAGGUGGAAUUCCACGUGUAGCAGUGAAAUGCGUAGAGAUGUGGAGGAACACCGAUGACGAAGGCAGCCUCCUGGGCCAGCACUGACGCUCAUGCACGAAAGCGUGGGGAGCAAACAGG
RNAcentral lists this ribosomal RNA (253 nucleotides) under uncultured bacterium. RNAcentral describes it as "partial 16S ribosomal RNA". It matches the Rfam family "Bacterial small subunit ribosomal RNA", at positions 524 to 776 of the family's 1533-position model. The record is from RNAcentral.